RNAcentral lists this ribosomal RNA (229 nucleotides) under uncultured bacterium. Its description in RNAcentral is "partial 16S ribosomal RNA". It matches the Rfam family "Bacterial small subunit ribosomal RNA", at positions 568 to 796 of the family's 1533-position model. The record is from RNAcentral.
UACGUAGGCGGAAAAUUAAGUCAGUAGUGAAAUCCUGCAGCUUAACUGUAGAACUGUUAUUGAUACUGGUUUUCUUGAAUAUAGUUGAGGUAGGCGGAAUGUGUAAUGUAGCGGUGAAAUGCUUAGAUAUUACACAGAACACCGAUUGCGAAGGCAGCUUACUAAGCUAUGAUUGACGCUGAGGUACGAAAGCGUAGGGAGCGAACAGGAUUAGAUACCCUGGUAGUCC